RNAcentral lists this ribosomal RNA (266 nucleotides) under uncultured bacterium. RNAcentral's name for it is "partial small subunit ribosomal RNA". It matches the Rfam family "Bacterial small subunit ribosomal RNA", at positions 26 to 286 of the family's 1533-position model. The record is from RNAcentral.
AGAAUCAACGCUGGCGGCGUGCCUCAGACAUGCAAGUCGUACGAUUAAAGCUCUCUUCGGAGAGUGCAUAAAGUGGCGUACGGGUGAGUAACACGUAAGUAAUCUACCUUUGAGUGGGGAAUAACAGUCGGAAACGACUGCUAAUACCGCAUAAUGCAGCGGCUCGACAUCGAGACAGUUGUUAAAGAAUUUAUUCGCUUAAAGAGGAGCUUGCGGCAGAUUAGCUAGUUGGUAAGGUAAUGGCUUACCAAGGCAACGAUCUGUAG